RNAcentral lists this ribosomal RNA (232 nucleotides) under uncultured bacterium. RNAcentral's name for it is "partial 16S ribosomal RNA". It matches the Rfam family "Bacterial small subunit ribosomal RNA", at positions 102 to 334 of the family's 1533-position model. The record is from RNAcentral.
CACGGGUGAGUAACACGUAUCCAACCUGCCGUCUACUCUUGGACAGCCUUCUGAAGGAAGAUUAAUACAAGAUGGCAUCAUGAGUCCGCAUGUUCACAUGAUUAAAGGUAUUCCGGUAGACGAUGGGGAUGCGUUCCAUUAGAUAGUAGGCGAGGUAACGGCCCACCUAGUCUUCGAUGGAUAGGGGUUCUGAGAGGAAGGUCCCCCACAUUGGAACUGAGACACGGUCCAA